UUCAGGACACUUUCACCUCAUUGGAAGCCAAUUCCAGGGGAUGCCACACACUUUUGCUCAGCUUAAUCGGGCCUGGAAAAAGUGUUUAAAACAAAUCCACAAUCUCAGGGCUGCGGAUUUACGGCCAAGGGGAAAGACGGACAAUCAUACAGCCAGGUUUGAUUGAACCUGGCUGAGAUUGAACAUCAACCUCCUUGAGAAUGAAAGUUCUCUUACCUCCUCUGCAAAUCUCUGCCCCUAGACCUUCCUCAUAUCUGGACACAGGAGUCAGGGACAACAAGGAGAGUGGCACAGAGUAAUGUCAGGAUAAGACCUAUUAUUGUGAGGCCCUGAAUGACUUUUGUCAGCUGAAGACCUGUGAUCUUGGAUCUCUCCUUCCCAAUGGCAAUGAAAUGGAUGGGGCCAUCAGCAGCAGUUUCCAAAAGGACAGAGCAGAAAGGCACUUCACUUCUCUGCAUCACAUGGAAUUCUGCAUGUCUCAAGAGGGACGAUCUGUGUUGAAAAAGGUUGAGAAGAUUUUUUAAAUGAAGGACUUCUCAGAGCCUAUGCACGAAGAGUUUCCUGGAGAGGGGGUUGGUAUCAUGCACCUCCAAACAUAUUGGACCACAGAGCCCUUUACUGAGAUUAUCAUGUACAACUAAUGAACUGUGAAAAAGAAUUUGGGAAAUGUUCACCUGAAGGCAUUGUGGUAUUAAAAGAACACUGCUCCCCACCUAUACCCUGAGAGUUUUGGAGCAAUACUUCUCCGUGUAUAACUUUUCCAUAAUUGUGAUUAUUUAUGUAGUUAUGGAAUGUCUGGUCCCCCUUGUCUAAUGUAAAUACCAUGUGCUUCUUUCCCAUUGCUAAUAGAUGUGUAUCUUCAAUGCCUCCCAAGUAAGUGCUCAAUACAUCUGUGAUUGAAUGAUUCAAUGCAUGAUUAAGACUCUAGAGGCCUGGAUUUUAGUGCCAGUUUUGUGGCUGACUGGGUAUUUGACUCUGGGAAAGUCACUUCCCUUCUUGGCCUCAGUCUACCCAUUUUGGCAACAGAAGAAAAUGCAGGUGAAUGAUCUCUGAAAGCCUUUCUAGCUCUAAAAUAUUAUGAUCUAAUUUCUUGUUUCUUUCAAAUGUAGCCAAUUCCAUACCUUUCUUACAAAUAAGAUAUUAACUAUCUUGGAAGAUACGAGAGAGUAUGUUUUUGGCAAUAAAUGAAAUAGGUUCUAUAAAGCACUUGCCAGAUCCCUAGUG
This is a long non-coding RNA of Lagenorhynchus albirostris (white-beaked dolphin), 1224 nucleotides long. RefSeq lists it as uncharacterized. The transcript is spliced from 4 exons. The record is from RefSeq and is a predicted model, not a curated record. Lineage: Eukaryota; Metazoa; Chordata; Mammalia; Artiodactyla; Delphinidae.